UAAAUACUCCCUCCGUCCGGAAAUACUUGUCAUCAAAAUAAAUAAAAGGAAUGUAUCUAAAUGUAUAAAAGGGGUUGUAUCUAGAUGUAUUUUAGUUUUAGAUACAUUCCUUUUUGUUCAUUUUGAUGAUAAGUAUUUUCGGACGGAGGGAGUACUUA
Triticum aestivum (bread wheat) is the source of this 158-nucleotide non-coding RNA. Lineage: Eukaryota; Viridiplantae; Streptophyta; Magnoliopsida; Poales; Poaceae. The record is from Rfam.